This 417-nucleotide microRNA precursor is filed under the name Arabidopsis thaliana (thale cress). RNAcentral's name for it is "miR5645e stem-loop (ath-MIR5645e)". Lineage: Eukaryota; Viridiplantae; Streptophyta; Magnoliopsida; Brassicales; Brassicaceae. The record is from miRBase by way of RNAcentral.
UAAAUGACAAAGUUUAUGUUGACUUUUCAUUUGAGUCAUGUCGUUAAGUAGGUUAAUAUAAUUAUUUCCCGGCGUUAAGUUCUCGUUUAUCUCCUCUAUUAGAACAAAACAACAUUGUUUAUUGCAUCUCGUUUUGUCUGUUGAAACAAAUUUAAACCCUAAAUCCCCAAAUCGAUUUCAUUAUCUGCGAUUUUGAGGUCAGGUGGGUUUGUGAUUUUGAGAUAAUGAAAUCGAUAUAGGGAUUUAAGGUUUAUAUUUGUUUCAAGAGACAAAACGACGUCGUUUUGUGUCUUCAAUAAACGACAUUGUUUGUUCUAACAGAUCAAAUAAACAAGUCAUUAAAGCCGUAAAAAAAAUUAUAUUAACCUAUUUAACGAUAGGACUCAAAUGGCAAGUCAACAAAAACUUUGUCAUUUA